This 77-nucleotide transfer RNA is filed under the name Acidobacteriota bacterium. Its description in RNAcentral is "tRNA-His". It matches the Rfam family "tRNA". Rfam says of the family: Transfer RNA (tRNA) molecules are approximately 80 nucleotides in length. Their secondary structure includes four short double-helical elements and three loops (D, anti-codon, and T loops). The record is from RNAcentral. Lineage: Bacteria; Pseudomonadati; Acidobacteriota. RNAcentral also lists the same sequence under 2 other names.
GCGGCUAUAGUUCAGUCGGUUAGAACGCUUGAUUGUGGAUCAAGAGGUCGUGGGUUCGAGCCCCACUAGCCGCCCCA